Molecule: ribosomal RNA, 448 nt
Filed under: uncultured bacterium
Lineage: Bacteria
Description: bacterial SSU rRNA
Rfam family: Bacterial small subunit ribosomal RNA
Source: RNAcentral
UUAGGAAUAUUCGUCAAUGGGAGGGAACUCUGAACGAGCAAUGCCGCGUGAAGGAUGACGGUCCUUUGGAUUGUAAACUUCUGUUGUUAGGAACGAAAAACUUAAGUAGGAAAUGACUUAAGCUUGACGGUACCUUUCAAGAAAGCUCCGGCUAACUACGUGCCAGCAGCCGCGGUAAUACGUAGGGAGCGAGCGUUAUCCGGAUUUAUUGGGUGUAAAGCGUGUGUAGGCGGUUACUUAAGUCUGUGGUCUAAGCCUGGAGCUCAACUCCAGUUCGCCAUGGAAACUGAGUUACUUGAGUAUGGUAGAGGCAAGUGGAAUUUCUAGUGUAGCGGUGGAAUGCGUAGAUAUUAGAAGGAACACCAGUGGCGAAGGCGGCUUGCUGGGCCAUUACUGACGCUGAGACACGAAAGCGUGGGGAGCAAAUAGGAUUAGAUACCCUGGUAGU